GAUGAACGCUAGCGGGAGGCUUAACACAUGCAAGUCGAGGGGCAGCAUAGGGUAGCAAUACUUUGAUGGCGACCGGCGCACGGGUGAGUAACGCGUAUGCAACCUACCCAGUACAGGGGGAUAGCCCGGAGAAAUUCGGAUUAAUACCCCAUAAUGAUAUUUAAAGGCAUCUUUUAAUAUUUAAAGUUUCGACGGUACUGGAUGGGCAUGCGUGACAUUAGCUAGUUGGUAGGGUAACGGCCUACCAAGGCUUCGAUGUCUAGGGGUCCUGAGAGGGUGAUCCCCCACACUGGUACUGAGACACGGACCAGACUCCUACGGGAGGCAG
RNAcentral lists this ribosomal RNA (328 nucleotides) under uncultured Bacteroidota bacterium. RNAcentral's name for it is "bacterial SSU rRNA". It matches the Rfam family "Bacterial small subunit ribosomal RNA", at positions 28 to 351 of the family's 1533-position model. The record is from RNAcentral. Lineage: Bacteria; Pseudomonadati; Bacteroidota.